CGGAAGAGAUUAGAAACCGACUGACUGUGGAACGGCUGCGCGGGAGACGUCAGCGGAGGGCGUCGGAAAAUUUGGAAGCGUUUCUUUUAACUGGACUGUCGCAAGCCUUCAGAUCGCGGCGUCAGGUCAGUAAUUGUGGGAGAAACCGGAGAAAAAGAGGACCGGGUAUGCGCGACUGCGGUAGUAACGUUUACAUAUGAGGCAGGGACUGCUUGGAGAAUUUGCCGCAGAGGAAGGAGAGCUGGAUUCGUGGUGAGGCGGGCGAUAAUUGCAGAAUGUGGACUUCAGCGAGGAGUUGAAUCUUGAGAGGGCUGGCCGGUGAUGAGUGCUGCUGGUAGGAAGGCAGGGGAUGGAGGCGCUGGAAUGAGAAGCAGGAAAAACGGGCUGAUCGAGGAGUGCAGGGGAAUCCUCUGUGCUGCCGAAGGAGUCCAAUGUGAGGAGAGGUAGCUCAAUUGGGCUCACUGAACCUGCUCAAGCAAUGUCUUUCAUGAGAUUCUUGGAUCCUGGAUCCUCUUACUCAUUUGCAAUAUCUGAGACGUGCUGAAAAAUCUAAUGUCUUUGAAAAGGUUCUUAUGGUAAUGUGUAACAGUCACAAAUAUGAAAUAAAG
Molecule: long non-coding RNA, 608 nt
Filed under: Lepisosteus oculatus (spotted gar)
Lineage: Eukaryota; Metazoa; Chordata; Actinopteri; Semionotiformes; Lepisosteidae
Description: lncRNA (ENSLOCG00000022684.1)
Source: RNAcentral